This 500-nucleotide unclassified non-coding RNA is filed under the name uncultured Glomus. Its description in RNAcentral is "SSU rRNA". It matches the Rfam family "Eukaryotic small subunit ribosomal RNA", at positions 591 to 1092 of the family's 1831-position model. Lineage: Eukaryota; Fungi; Glomeromycota; Glomeromycetes; Glomerales; Glomeraceae. The record is from RNAcentral.
CUAAUAGCGUAUAUUAAAGUUGUUGUAGUUAAAAAGCUCGUAGUUGAAUUUCGGGACCAAUCUGCCGGUCGUGCCUCCGGUACGCACUGGUUUUAUUGGUUUCUCCCUUCUGACGAACCAUGAUGUCAUUAAUUUGGUGUCAUGGGGAAUCAGGACUGUUACUUUGAAAAAAUUAGAGUGUUUAUAGCAGGCUCACGCUUGAAUACAUUAGCAUGGAAUAAUGAAAUAGGACGUUUGACCCUAUUUUGUUGGUUUCUAGGAUCGACGUAAUGAUUAAUAGGGAUAGUUGGGGGCAUUAGUAUUCAAUUGUCAGAGGUGAAAUUCUUGGAUUUAUUGAAGACUAACUACUGCGAAAGCAUUUGCCAAGGAUGUUUUCAUUAAUCAAGAACGAAAGUUAGGGGAUCGAAGACGAUCAGAUACCGUCGUAGUCUUAACCAUAAACUAUGCCGACUAGGGAUCGGAUGAUGUUAAUUUUUUAAUGACUCGUUUGGCACCUUACG